This 512-nucleotide ribosomal RNA is filed under the name uncultured bacterium. RNAcentral describes it as "partial 16S ribosomal RNA". It matches the Rfam family "Bacterial small subunit ribosomal RNA", at positions 28 to 507 of the family's 1533-position model. The record is from RNAcentral.
GAUGAACGCUGGCGGCGUGCCUAAUACAUGCAAGUCGAACGAAACUUCUUUAUCACCGAGUGCUUGCACUCACCGAUAAAGAGUUGAGUGGCGAACGGGUGAGUAACACGUGGGCAACCUGCCCAAAAGAGGGGGAUAACACUUGGAAACAGGUGCUAAUACCGCAUAACCAUGGUUACCGCAUGGUAACUAUGUAAAAGGUGGCUAUACUACCGCUUUUGGAUGGGCCCGCGGCGCAUUAGCUAGUUGGUAGGGUAAAGGCUUACCAAGGCAAUGAUGCGUAGCCGAAUUGAGAGGUUGAUCGGCCACAUUGGGACUGAGACACGGCCCAAACUCCUACGGGAGGCAGCAGUAGGGAAUCUUCCACAAUGGGCGAAAGCCUGAUGGAGCAACGCCGCGUGGGUGAAGAAGGUCUUCGGAUCGUAAAACCCUGUUGUUAGGGAAGAAAGUGCGUGAGAGUAACUGUUCACGUUUCGACGGUAUCUAACCAGAAAGCCACGGCUAACUACGUG